Molecule: long non-coding RNA, 479 nt
Filed under: Rattus norvegicus (Norway rat)
Lineage: Eukaryota; Metazoa; Chordata; Mammalia; Rodentia; Muridae
Description: long non-coding RNA NONRATT014439
Source: RNAcentral
UCUUCAGUAAUCGUGUGAACCAUCCUUACCUCCAGUUCUGGUGAUCUGAUCCUCUCUUCUGACUUCUGUGGGCUGCAGGCACGGAUGUGUUCUAGGGAACUGGACUGCUGAGGUAUCCGUGAAGAGGAGGUGCUGCUGCUGAGCUGUGGACUGAACGGCCGAUGUCCAGACAACACGGAUGGAGUCGCUCCAAAGAACCUUCCUAACAUCUGACUGGAAGCUAUUCAUGAGGAAGCAACGAAACUGCCAUCCACACCCCCGGGCUGGAGAGGCCUGGGGACAUCUGUGGGUGAACCAGACUGACCAGCUUGGCUCCCACACCUCAACCCAGUUCCAGCUUUAAGACCUAUAAAAGCUCCCGGAGCAGCAGUUUGAUGAUGCCCCCUCUCUGAGGCCUGCUUCUGCUGUACGGGGCAGCUCUAUGCACUUUCUCUGGAGCUCAUGUCUGUGAGCCUAUAAUAAACUCCUUCUGCAAACUC